RNAcentral lists this ribosomal RNA (1506 nucleotides) under metagenome. RNAcentral's name for it is "bacterial LSU rRNA". It matches the Rfam family "Bacterial large subunit ribosomal RNA", at positions 1410 to 2925 of the family's 2925-position model. The record is from RNAcentral.
CGUAGGCGAUGGACAACAGGUUGAAAUUCCUGUACCACCUUUAAUUGUUUGAGAGAUGGAGUGACACAGAAGGAUAAGCGAACCCAGCGGUUGGAAAAGCUGGGCCAAGCGUCAAGGCUGAUCAGGGAGGCAAAUCCCCUUGAUCUUAAGGCUGAGGCGUGACGGGGAACGAAAAAUAAGUAGGGAAGUCGCUGAUUUCACGCUGUCAAGAAAAGCUUCUAUUGAGAGAGAAGGUGCCCGUACCGUAAACCGACACAGGUAGGCGAGGAGAGAAUCCUAAGAUGAGCGGGAGAAGUGUUGUUAAGGAACUCGGCAAAAUGACUCCGUAACUUCGGGAGAAGGAGUGCCCACGCAAGUGGGCCGCAGAGAAGAGGCUCAAGCGACUGUUUAGCAAAAACAUAGGUCUCUGCUAAAUCGAAAGAUGAUGUAUAGGGGCUGACGCCUGCCCGGUGCUGGAAGGUUAAGAGGAGUGCUUAGCGCAAGCGAAGGUGCGAAUUUAAGCCCCAGUAAACGGCGGCCGUAACAAUAACGGUCCUAAGGUAGCGAAAUUCCUUGUCAGGUAAGUUCUGACCCGCACGAAAGGCGUAACGAUUUGAGCGCUGUCUCGACAACACACCCGGUGAAAUUGUAGUACUCGUGAAGAUGCGAGUUACCCGCGACAGGACGGAAAGACCCCGUAGAGCUUUACUGCAAUCUGGCAUUGAGUUUUGGUAGUACACGUACAGGAUAGGUGGGAGGCUAAGAAUUUGGGACGCCAGUUUCGAAGGAGCCAACCUUGGGAUACCACCCUUGUACUAUUGGAAUUCUAACGAGUGGCCGUAAUCCGGUCAUCGGACAGUGUCAGACGGGCAGUUUGACUGGGGCGGUCGCCUCCUAAAAAGUAUCGGAGGCGCCCAAAGUUACCUUCAGGAUGGUUGGAAACCAUCUCUUAGAGUGCAAAGGCAAAAAGGUGAUUGACUGCGAGAGAGACAUCUCGAGCAGAGACGAAAGUCGGGCUUAGUGAUCCGGUGGUUCCGAGUGGAAGGGCCAUCGCUCAACGGAUAAAAGCUACCUCGGGGAUAACAGGCUUAUCUCCCCCAAGAGUCCACAUCGACGGGGAGGUUUGGCACCUCGAUGUCGGCUCGUCUCAUCCUGGGGCUGAAGCAGGUCCCAAGGGUUGGGCUGUUCGCCCAUUAAAGAGGCACGCGAGCUGGGUUCAGAACGUCGUGAGACAGUUCGGUCCCUAUCCGUCGUGGGCGUCAGAUAUUUGAGAAGAGCUGUUCCUAGUACGAGAGGACCGGAACGGACAAACCACUGGUGCACCAGUUGUUCCGCCAGGAGCAUAGCUGGGUAGCUAAGUUUGGAAAGGAUAAGUGCUGAAGGCAUCUAAGCACGAAGCCCCCUUCAAGAUAAGAUAUCUCACCAGAAAUGGUUAAGGUCCCUGAUAGACGAUCAGGUAGAUAGGCUGGAUGUGGAAGUAUGGUAACAUAUGGAGCUGACCGGUACUAAUCGACCGAGGUCUUGAUC